AUACGGAUGGUGCGAGCGUUGUUCGGAAUUACUGGGCGUAAAGCGCGCGUAGGCGGUUUGCUCAGUCGGAUGUGAAAGCCCAGGGCUCAACCUUGGAACUGCAUACGAUACUGGCAAACUAGAGUGUGAGAGAGGAUAGUGGAAUUUCCGGUGUAGCGGUGAAAUGCGUAGAUAUCGGAAGGAACAUCAGUGGCGAAGGCGACUGUCUGGCUCAACACUGACGCUGAGGUGCGAAAGCGUGGGUAGCAAACAGGAUUAGAAACCCUAGUAGUCC
This 274-nucleotide ribosomal RNA is filed under the name uncultured bacterium. RNAcentral describes it as "partial 16S ribosomal RNA". It matches the Rfam family "Bacterial small subunit ribosomal RNA", at positions 523 to 796 of the family's 1533-position model. The record is from RNAcentral.